AACGCACCUUGCGCUCUUUGGUAUUCCGAAGAGCAUGCCUGUUUGAGUGUCAUGAAAAUAUCAACCUUGACUUGGGUUUUGUGCUCUAGUCUUGGCUUGGAAUUGGUUGCUUGCCGCUUUUACGAGCGACUCACCUUAAAUGUAUUAGCUGGAUCUGUCUUUGAGACUUGGUUUGACUUUUCGUUAUAAGUUUUUCGCUAAGGACAUUCUUCGGAGUGGCCUCGUUUCUAGGACGCUUGUACGCUUCCCAAUCCAAGUUCCUCCUCGUAGACAUGACUCUUUAAUAUCUGGCCUCAAAUCAGGUAGGACUACCCGCUGAACUUAA
RNAcentral lists this unclassified non-coding RNA (325 nucleotides) under uncultured fungus. RNAcentral describes it as "partial contains 5.8S rRNA and ITS2". The stretch from base 1 to 52 matches the Rfam family "5.8S ribosomal RNA", at positions 103 to 154 of the family's 154-position model. The record is from RNAcentral. Lineage: Eukaryota; Fungi.